RNAcentral lists this transfer RNA (72 nucleotides) under Camelus bactrianus (Bactrian camel). It matches the Rfam family "tRNA". Rfam says of the family: Transfer RNA (tRNA) molecules are approximately 80 nucleotides in length. Their secondary structure includes four short double-helical elements and three loops (D, anti-codon, and T loops). Further hydrogen bonds mediate the characteristic L-shaped molecular structure. tRNAs have two regions of fundamental functional importance: the anti-codon, which is responsible for specific mRNA codon recognition, and the 3' end, to which the tRNAs corresponding amino acid is attached (by aminoacyl-tRNA synthetases). tRNAs cope with the degeneracy of the genetic code in two manners: having more than one tRNA (with a specific anti-codon) for a particular amino acid; and 'wobble' base-pairing, i.e. permitting non-standard base-pairing at the 3rd anti-codon position. RNAcentral also lists the same sequence under 2 other names. The record is from Rfam by way of RNAcentral. Lineage: Eukaryota; Metazoa; Chordata; Mammalia; Artiodactyla; Camelidae.
GGAGCAAUAUCUUAGUGGUAGAGCACAUGCUUAAGAUGCAUGAGGUCCUGGGUUCAAUCCCCAGUACCUCUA